RNAcentral lists this small nucleolar RNA (137 nucleotides) under Otolemur garnettii (small-eared galago). Its description in RNAcentral is "Small nucleolar RNA SNORA11". It matches the Rfam family "Small nucleolar RNA SNORA11", at positions 17 to 129 of the family's 129-position model. Rfam says of the family: U107 (SNORA11) is a member of the H/ACA class of snoRNAs that guide the sites of modification of uridines to pseudouridines. The record is from Rfam by way of RNAcentral. Lineage: Eukaryota; Metazoa; Chordata; Mammalia; Primates; Galagidae.
AGGGAGACAUAGUAAGACUCUGUCUCAACAACAAAAAAAGAUGGCUCCUCUGUUUAUAACACACCUAACAGGAAUCUGGGAUCCUUGUGAUAAGGGACACAAAACUUGUGGCCUCUGCAAACAAAUUCUGUACAUCU